Molecule: ribosomal RNA, 253 nt
Filed under: uncultured bacterium
Lineage: Bacteria
Description: partial 16S ribosomal RNA
Rfam family: Bacterial small subunit ribosomal RNA
Source: RNAcentral
UACAGAGGUCCCAAGCGUUGUUCGGAUUUACUGGGCGUAAAGGGUGCGUAGGCGGUCGGAUAAGUUUGAUGUGAAAUCUUCGGGCUUAACCCGGAAACUGCAUUGAAUACUAUUCGGCUUGAGGUCUGGAGGGGGGACUGGAAUUCUCGGUGUAGCAGUGAAAUGCGUAGAUAUCGAGAGGAACACCAGUGGCGAAGGCGAGUCCCUGGACAGAUCCUGACGCUGAGGCACGAAAGCUAGGGGAGCAAACAGG